AGUGAACGCUGGCGGUAGGCCUAACACAUGCAAGUCGAACGGCAGCACAGUAAGAGCUUGCUCUUACGGGUGGCGAGUGGCGGACGGGUGAGGAAUACAUCGGAAUCUACUUUUUCGUGGGGGAUAACGUAGGGAAACUUACUCUAAUACCGCAUACGACCUACGGGUGAAAGCAGGGGAUCUUCGGACCUUGCGCGAUUGAAUGAGCCGAUGUCGGAUUAGCUAGUUGGCGGGGUAAAGGCCCACCAAGGCGACGAUCCGUAGCUGGUCUGAGAGGAUGAUCAGCCACACUGGAACUGAGACACGGUCCAGACUCCUACGGGAGGCAGCAGUGGGGAAUAUUGGACAAUGGGCGCAAGCCUGAUCCAGCCAUACCGCGUGGGUGAAGAAGGCCUUCGGGUUGUAAAGACCUUUUGUUGGGAAAGAAAAGCAGCAGGUUAAUACCCAGCUGUUCUGACGGUACCCAAAGAAUAAGCACCGGCUAACUUCGUG
This 492-nucleotide ribosomal RNA is filed under the name uncultured bacterium. Its description in RNAcentral is "partial 16S ribosomal RNA". It matches the Rfam family "Bacterial small subunit ribosomal RNA", at positions 29 to 507 of the family's 1533-position model. The record is from RNAcentral.